AUUGAACGCUGGCGGCAGGCCUAACACAUGCAAGUCGAGCGAGCGGCGGACGGGUGAGUAAUGUCUGGGAAACUGCCUGAUGGAGGGGGAUAACUACUGGAAACGGUAGCUAAUACCGCAUACCAUCAGAUGUGCCCAGAUGGGAGUAGCUAGUAGGUGGGGUAACGGCUCACCUAGGCGACGAUCCCUAGCUGGUCGGAGAGGAUGACCAGCCACACGGGAACUGAGACCGGGUCCAUACGCCUACGGGAGGCAGCAGGGGGGAAUAGUGCACAAUGGGCGCAAGCCUGAUGCAGCCAUGCGGGGUGUGUGAAGAAGGCCUUCGGGUUGUAAAGCACUUUCAGCGGGGAGGCGUUACCCGCAGAAGAAGCACCGGCUAACUCCGUGCCAGCCGCCGCGGUAAUAC
RNAcentral lists this ribosomal RNA (406 nucleotides) under uncultured bacterium. RNAcentral describes it as "partial 16S ribosomal RNA". It matches the Rfam family "Bacterial small subunit ribosomal RNA", at positions 29 to 526 of the family's 1533-position model. The record is from RNAcentral.